RNAcentral lists this ribosomal RNA (221 nucleotides) under uncultured bacterium. RNAcentral's name for it is "partial 16S ribosomal RNA". It matches the Rfam family "Bacterial small subunit ribosomal RNA", at positions 1271 to 1500 of the family's 1533-position model. The record is from RNAcentral.
AUCUCGAAAGCCUGUCCCAGUUCGGACUGGAGUCUGNAACCCGACUCCACGAAGUUGGAUUCGCUAGUAAUCGCGCAUCAGCCAUGGCGCGGUGAAUACGUUCCCGGGCCUUGUACACACCGCCCGUCAAGCCAUGGGAGCCGGGGGCGCCUGAAGUCCGGGACCGCGAGGACCGGCCUAGGGCGAAACUGGUAACUGGGGCUAAGUCGUAACAAGGUACC